GAUGGACGCUAGCGGCGGGCUUAAUACAUGCAAGUCAAGGGGUAGCAAUACACCGGCGUACGGGUGCGUAACGCGUAUGGAACCUGCCCUUAUCUGGGGGAUAACUCGGGGAAACUCGAGCUAAUACCGCAUAAGAUAGUAGAGUGGCAUCACUCAGCUAUUAAAGAUUUAUCGGAUAAGGAUGGCCAUGCGUAAGAUUAGAUAGUUGGCGAGGUAACGGCUCACCAAGUCUACGAUCUUUAGGGGCUCUGAGAGGAGAAUCCCCCACACUGGCACUGAGAUACGGGCCAGACUCCUACGGGAGGCAGCAGUAGGGAAUAUUGGGCAAUGGGCGGAAGCCUGACCCAGCCACGCCGCGUGCAGGAAGACGGCCCUCUGGGUUGUAAACUGUUUUUAACUGGGAAGAAAGCAGCUCAUGCGUGAGAAUUUGACGGUACCAGUUGAAUAAGCCACGGCUAACUACGUGCCAGCAGCCGCGGUAAUACGUAGGUGGCGAGCGUUAUCCGGAUUUAUUGGGUUUAAAGGGAGCGUAGGCGGCUGAUUAAGUCGGCGGUGAAAGGUAGCAGCUUAACUGUUUUACAUGCCGUUGAUACUGGUUAGCUUGAGUUGACAGAAGGCAGAUAGAAUUCCUGAUGUAGCGGUGAAAUGCUUAGAUAUCAGGAGGAAUACCGAUUGCGAAGGCAGUCUGCU
This 690-nucleotide ribosomal RNA is filed under the name uncultured bacterium. Its description in RNAcentral is "bacterial SSU rRNA". It matches the Rfam family "Bacterial small subunit ribosomal RNA", at positions 28 to 730 of the family's 1533-position model. The record is from RNAcentral.